RNAcentral lists this transfer RNA (76 nucleotides) under Clostridia bacterium. Its description in RNAcentral is "tRNA-Ala". It matches the Rfam family "tRNA". Rfam says of the family: Transfer RNA (tRNA) molecules are approximately 80 nucleotides in length. Their secondary structure includes four short double-helical elements and three loops (D, anti-codon, and T loops). The record is from RNAcentral. Lineage: Bacteria; Bacillati; Bacillota; Clostridia.
GGGGGUAUGGCGCAGUUGGGAGCGCGCUUGACUGGCAGUCAAGAGGUCAUGGGUUCAAGUCCCAUUAUCUCCACCA